GUCGUGUUGCUGUCGUCGUUUACUCCAUAUCUAAUCUUCAACUGGAAUACAACAAAAAUCUAACGAUGUGGCUCUUUCAAGAUUCCCAGCCAACCACAUUUGAGUGUUCAGAAUGUGUAAUUCAAUGCAACGACGACCUAUAUGGAAUGGACAGUGUAGACCGAUGUAAGCUAAUUAAGUUCCUCCAGAAACCAAAAGAAAAAUACAGAUGGCUACGGCGACUGUUUGGGUGUCCCACAAAAACCAAGGUACGGGAGAACGAUGGCAAAUAAAGGAAUGAGAGAACCAUGGUAACGACAGAUUUCGACGAUCUUUUGGUGGAAGUUGCCACAACAGUCCGCAAAAAAGCAGAAAUCGACACAUUAGGGAAGAAACUUGGAAUAUCCCUGGGUGAUAUUCAAGGGUACUUAGCAACUAAUUACAAAGACCAGGAGGUAACACAUUAUGGAACUCUUCAAAUGCUCCGGGACUGGCAAAAAGGUCAAACGAAAUCUACCGAGCGAGGAGCUUUGAAGACUGCUUUGGAGGAAUCUGGACAAAUUCAUCUUGCUGAUGAUCUCUUUCCUUCCAGUCAGUAAAUACAUGAAGCAUAGCAGGAAUCAGUCGUGGUUCUAGAAAGACUGAUGGGGUCAUGCUUUGGUCAUUGAAGCAAUGAUGUUUGCUACAUUUCUACCAUAGUGAAUGUAUAUCAUAUCGACUAUUAGGUUUUUAUUUAUUUUUCGCAAAGUUCAAUUAUUUGGUGUUAUCAAUCGUUUUGUAUCACUCUUGUCUCAGGAGAAGAGUGUUUGUGUGGGUGCUGUUUUUUAUGACAAAUAAACAUAUAUGUAUAUAUUUGUCUGUGUGGACCCAGAAGGGAUAUUAUUUUACACAAAGUUAAGUACGGAUAGAUGUGGCUAUUAUUAGAUGAUCUGCCGCGCAGCGAAGCUCGGCAAAAUUAAUUUCACCAGAAUAUAUCUUUUUGGGUGAUCCGCCACGAAGCGUGGCAGAUCACCUAUUGAUUUCGUCAGAAGCUUGUUUUCUUUUUCUAUUCUUUCUGCAUGAAUUUUGUAUUGUGGAUGUCUCAUAAAUGGCAUGGCUAAUAACCAUGAAACUGUCAUGGCAUGUUGCAUGUGCAUGAUUAUUGUGCAUAACGAAGAGAUCUUUUUUUAUCACUAAUGCGUGACGUCAUCUAGGCGCCAUUUUGUUAAUUUCUAAUAUUGACCAUAUUUCAUUUAUACAUUGUCAUUUCUGAAUGAUUUUGUAUAUGCAUAAACUUGAGGUCACGGGUAAACCUCUGGUCACAACCAUGUCCGUGCGCGCGUACGCGUUUGUCAAAAUUCAAAAUUGGUCAAAUGCUUCUUGUACCAAAUUAGGGUAGGUGUGGGGAAUUGGAGACCC
Molecule: long non-coding RNA, 1377 nt
Organism: Strongylocentrotus purpuratus (purple sea urchin)
Lineage: Eukaryota; Metazoa; Echinodermata; Echinoidea; Camarodonta; Strongylocentrotidae
Exons: 3
Source: RefSeq, a predicted model, not a curated record